AUGCCACAGCCUCCGGCCGCUGCUCUUCGGGGACCCGGAGCCGCCCGUGGAGGGCGCGCGGUCCGACCUGAACCCGAUGCCGGACUUGGACCUGGCCCCUGUCCGGACUCCUGCGCAAGAGAGGCGGCGGCGCACGGACCGGCAGCGCGCGGAGGAGCGCGAGGCCAGGCGGGUCAGCAAGAGCAUCGACCGCCGACUCCGCGAGCAGAGGCGCGACCUGCGGCGGACGCACCGGCUGCUGCUGCUCGCCCGGAAUACGGCCCUUCUGCCUCACUGAGUUGGCUUCAACCCUGGUGUCCUCAGAAUCCCGCUCCUCCUUCAGAUUCGUCCGCUGUGGCCCCUGCGCACAGGGAAGAGAACGCGACGCCGCCGGCGCAAAGUUUAGGGAGAAAAAAAGUAAGACGUGGGCUUCUGACCCCCAUUUUGUGAGCUCUAAAGAAGAAUAAUUGUUCUCUGCCCAGCGGCGCACGAAGAACCCAGCCUACGAUGGAGGUAGAUCCUGCUUACAAAUGAAAGGAGACUUUUCUUUAAGGACAUCUAAAUCUUCGGUUUGGAACGGCUCACCAUUGCAAUAAUGAACAAGUAAAAUGGCACAAACCUAGCUACAGUCUCCAGUGAAAUAUCUGAAUUCGAAUAUAAAGGGAAACGUUUUUGGAGAAUCAAAGAGCAAAAAAUACAGAAGGGAUCAGGUUACCUGAAAAGGGAAGAGGAGGCAUCAGAAGCAGAGUUCUCAUGUACACUGCUGACUUCCCCACAGGAGACAGCAAUGUUGCCAGAGGUCUGAAAAUACUGAACGGUGAUCCUAGACGCUCGCACCUCAUUAAACCACUGUGGGCAUAUGCAUAUGUCUGUGUGUGUGUGUACCUGUGUCUAUGUGAGGGGAAAAUAGAUUUUCAGAUACAUAAUUGCUCAAAGGAUAUCCCCACCCACAUAUUUUUCCAGAAAGAAAUCACUUAGAAAUUACUCCAGCUAAAUUUCUUUUCAUGCACCAAAUUAACUCAAAAAGGAGAGAAUUGUGGUCUCAAGAAAUAAGAGAAAACCAAAUAAGGUCCAGAGUUCUGGCAUCUUAAUGUUUUAAUGUGAUUGUGCAGCCAAACAGAAACAUUUAAAAGGAUAUGUGAAGCAAAAGAUGCUCCAUGUAGAGAAAAAAUUUAAAUGCAGGCCCAGCGUUGCCCAUCUUGAAUUUUCAGAAUAAGAGGGAAAAUGUUUGAUUUUCACCUGAAAGCUCCUUAUUGUUAACCAUUGGCUCAUAUCUAUAAAGGGCUUCCCAGGUGGCGCUAGUAGUAAAGAACCUGCCUGCCAAUGCAGAAGUCAGAAGGGAUGCAGGUUCAAUCCCUGGGUCAGGAAGAUCCCCUGGAGGAAGGGUAUGGCAACUCACUCCAGUGUUCUAGCCUGGAGAAUCCUGUGGACAGAGGAGCCUGAGAGGCUACAGUCCGUGGGGUCUCAAAGAGUCAGACAUGACUGAGCAACUGAGCACACACAUAUUAAUAAAGCACAAUCUCCAUGCCUGAUUCGGCCCAUGAGCCACUGCCAACAAAAACACAGAUGACAAGACUGGGUGUGGGGUCAAAAUACGUUGUCUGUCUGAACACCCAGCAAUCAAAGCUGGAUCCCCACCCUACAAGUGUACCUUUCAGCUGCUGAACUCAUAGUCAUGACAUAGUUAUUGUUGUUCGGUUGCUCAGUCGUGUCCAACUCUUUGCAACCACGUGGACUGUAGCACACCAGGUCUCCCUGCCUCUCACUAUAAUCGAUGUCCCACACCAUAGUAGGUGCCACUUUACAUUCUGAUUGGAAAAGUAUUCAUUUGAUGUUAUCCAUUUUCCAGAUACCAUUCAAAUUAAAAAUGGACAACUAUGAGUAGGAUUCGUGUUUUCUGCCUCCUUCAAUUAUCUCCUGCUAUUUUCCUGUGUGUAUGGUCUUUCUCCACCAGCAAUACAUCUUUCUAGAAGGAGGCCAUCUCUGUGGGACGUUUACUGUCAUCGCCUUGUACUUGGCUGUUGGGAUAAACCAGAACUCUGGCUUGACCCCCAUCCAUGUCUAGUUCCUCUAAAAGGGAGUACUUGGUGAAAUCACAGAAAAACAAUGUUCUCCAG
Molecule: long non-coding RNA, 2096 nt
Organism: Bos grunniens (domestic yak)
Lineage: Eukaryota; Metazoa; Chordata; Mammalia; Artiodactyla; Bovidae
Source: Ensembl